UAGGCGAAGUCAUCAAUCCCAUGCUGCCAAGAAAAGCCCAACAGUGAGUUGGCACGGCACCCGUACCCCAAACCGACACAGGUGGGCGGGUAGAGAAUACCAAGGCGAUCGGGAGAACUAUGGUUAAGGAACUCGGCAAAUUACAUCCGUAACUUCGGGAGAAGGAUGACCCUAUUAGGGUGAAGGGACUUGCUCCCCGAGCUCGAGAGGGUGACACAAACCAGGGGGUAGCGACUGUUUACCAAAAACACAGCAGCGUGCUAAGCCGCAAGGCGCUGUAUACGCUGUGACGCCUGCCCAAUGCUGGAAGGUCACGGGGAACGGUUAGUCGAAAGGCGAAGCUGUGAACCUAAGCCCCAGUGAAUGGCGGCCGUAACUAUAACGGUCCUAAGGUAGCGAAAUUCCUUGUCGGGUAAGUUCCGACCUGCACGAAUGGCGUAACGACUUCCCCACUGUCUCAACCAUAGACCCGGCGAAAUUGAAGUACGAGUAAAGAUGCUCGUUAGCUGCGGAAGGACGGAUAGACCCCAUGACCUUUACUACAACUUGAUAUUGAGCUUUGUCCUGCAUUGUGUAGGAUAGGUGGGAGACUUGGAAGCUGUAGCGCUAGCCAUGGUGGAGUCAUCGUUGAAAUACCACCCUGUGUAUGACGGGGCUCUAACCUAGGUCCAUUAUCUGGAUCAGGAACAGUGUCAGGCGGGUAGUUUGACUGGGGCGGUCGCCUCCUAAAAUGUAACGGAGGCGCCCAAAGGUUCCCUCAGGCUGGUUGGCAAUCAGCCGUCGAGUGCAAUGGCACAAGGGAGCUUGACUGCGAGACCUACAAGUCAAGCAGGUGCGAAAGCAGGGCAUAGUGACCCGGCCAUCACGUGUGGAAGUGUGGUCGCUCAACGGAUAAAAGGUACCCUGGGGAUAACAGGCUAAUCUUUCCCAAGAGUCCAUAUCGACGGAAAGGUUUGGCACCUCGAUGUCGGCUCAUCGCAUCCUGGGGCUGAAGCAGGUCCCAAGGGUUGGGCUGUUCGCCCAUUAAAGCGGUACGCGAGCUGGGUUCAGAACGUCGUGAGACAGUUCGGUCCCUAUCCUCCGCAGCCGAAGGUGUAUUGAGGAAGGCUGUCCCUAGUACGAGAGGACCGGGACGGACGGAGCUCUGGUGUGUCUGUUGUCCUGCCAAGGGCAUGGCAGAUUAGCCACCUCCGGAAGGGAUAACUGCUGAAAGCAUCUAAGUAGGAAACCCGUUCCAAGAUGAGUACACCCAUGCGGUUAACGCAGUAAGGCCCGUGACAAGACCAUCACGUUGAUAGGCCGGAGGUGUAAGCACGGUAACGUGUGUAGCCGACCGGUACUAAUCGGCC
This 1349-nucleotide ribosomal RNA is filed under the name metagenome. RNAcentral's name for it is "bacterial LSU rRNA". It matches the Rfam family "Bacterial large subunit ribosomal RNA", at positions 1582 to 2910 of the family's 2925-position model. The record is from RNAcentral.